GGACCCGCACAAGCGGUGGAACAUGUGGUUCAAUUCGAAGCUACGCGAAAAACCUCACCAAGGCUUGACAUGUAGGAAGUAGUGAACCGAAAGGGGAACGACCUGUCAAAUCAGGAGCUUACACAGGUGCUGCAUGGCUGUCGUCAGCUCGUGUCGUGAGAUGUUGGGUUAAGUCCCGCAACGAGCGCAACCAUUAUCUUUAGUUGCAACCAUUUUAGCCUUCGGGCUUAAAGUGAGCACUUUAAAGAGACUGCCUGGGUUAACCAGGAGGAAGGCGGAGAUGACGUCAAGUCAGUACGGCCUUUAUGCCUUGGGCUACACACGUGUUACAAUGGCCGGUACAAAGGGUUGCCAACCCGCGAGGGGGAGCUAAUCUCAGAAAAUCGGCCCCAGUUCGGAUUGAAGUCUGAAAUUCGACUUCAUGAAGCCGGAAUCGCUAGUAAUGGUAGAUCAGCACGCUACCGUGAAUACGUUCCCGGGUCUU
This 484-nucleotide ribosomal RNA is filed under the name uncultured bacterium. Its description in RNAcentral is "bacterial SSU rRNA". It matches the Rfam family "Bacterial small subunit ribosomal RNA", at positions 917 to 1382 of the family's 1533-position model. The record is from RNAcentral.